UACGUAGGGGGCAAGCGUUGUCCGGAAUUAUUGGGCGUAAAGAGCGUGUAGGCGGCCAGAAAAGUCCGCUGUGAAAACUCGAGGCUCAACUUCGAGCUGUCGGUGGAAACUUUCUGGCUAGAGUCCGGAAGAGGAGAAUGGAAUUCCUGGUGUAGCGGUGAAAUGCGCAGAUAUCAGGAAGAACACCCGCGGCGAAGGCGGUUCUCUGGGACGGUACUGACGCUGAGACGCGAAAGCGUGGGGAGCGAACAGG
RNAcentral lists this ribosomal RNA (253 nucleotides) under uncultured bacterium. Its description in RNAcentral is "partial 16S ribosomal RNA". It matches the Rfam family "Bacterial small subunit ribosomal RNA", at positions 524 to 776 of the family's 1533-position model. The record is from RNAcentral.